This 483-nucleotide ribosomal RNA is filed under the name uncultured bacterium. RNAcentral's name for it is "SSU rRNA". It matches the Rfam family "Bacterial small subunit ribosomal RNA", at positions 26 to 523 of the family's 1533-position model. The record is from RNAcentral.
AGGACGAACGCUGGCGGCGCGCCUAAACAUGCAAGUCGAACGAGAAACCCGGGCUUGCCCGGGUGGACAGUGGCGAACGGGUGAGUAACACGUGAGGAACCUGCCCCGAAGACCGGGACAACACCGGGAAACCGGUGCUAAUACCGGAUACCUUCACCGAAUCGCAUGGUCUGGUGAAGAAAUGGAUUCCGCUUCGGGAUGGCCUCGCGGCCUAUCAGCUUGUUGGUGAGGUAAUGGCUCACCAAGGCGACGACGGGUAGCUGGUCUGAGAGGAUGUCCAGCCACACUGGGACUGAGACACGGCCCAGACUCCUACGGGAGGCAGCAGUUAGGAAUCUUGCGCAAUGGGCGAAAGCCUGACGCAGCGACGCCGCGUGCGGGAUGAAGGCCUUCGGGUUGUAAACCCUUUCAGCAGGGACGAAGCGAAAGUGACGGUACCUGCAGAAGAAGCGCCGGCUAACUACGCGCCAGCAGCCGCGGUAA